AUGUUGAGCUUGCAAAAUGUUCCUGGUCUUUCCUGUUCGCUGUUUACAAAGACAGACUAAUGUUCAAGCCUAAUUAAGUAAGGUAAACGACUUGUCCAGAGAGAAGGAUCCCGUUCUGCCUGUCCAUGCAGGGCAUCAAAGGGGCGUGCGUGUGCAGUUGUCUUCAGGAGGCUGAGACUGCAAUGUAGGAGGCUUCUGUAUUCCUGUAACUGCUAUGAGAUCACAUGGCUGGGAGUGUGCUCAGAACCUGCUGCGACUGUGGCUGCUGCACCCAAUCUGUGAAUCAGCUGACUUUCGUUUUGCUGUGCUAUAUUUAAUUGGUCUAAGGAGGAAUAGCCAGCAAGCAGUAGGAAGUCACCAGCAGUAGCUGUGUCCAGUUAGCCCAUGUGCAGACACGAGAAUUUGAGUACCCAUUUCUCCUUGUUACAAGAGCAUAGAGAGCUGCUUCCCAAAUCAAGGAACGCUAUCAUCUGCCACUACCUAGAGAAAGGCCUUCCAAAUCUCCAGUCUAGGAACUGAGUAACCUGGCGAUAAUGUCAUGCCUCACCUCUGACAAAACGACUGAUGAGAAAAGGAGUGAAGAAUUUGGGCCUUAUUCCUUGAUGCUCAAAGGCAUCAAGUUAUUCCACCCCAGGCUGAGGACUCUGACCUAAGAGAACAGCCACGGCCCAGGCAGUGUUUGGUGACAUAAAACACAGGGUAGUCGCCUAGCAUCCUGGAGUCUUGUCUUGUCUACAGAAACUUUGGUUCCUCGGUGCACACCCUGACUCACUGUAUAUGCUCAGGAGGAUGUCAUUUGGGACCCACCUUGCCCAUAGCACCCAGUGCAAGUCUGACUCCUGGGAGAAAGACUCCGUGUUCCCGUGCGUGUGACUCAGGUGAUCACCUCAUGGGCACAACCAGGGCCUCAGUCAACAGCCCUUGUAAAAGCAGCCUUUUAUCUACCUGGCUUCAGAGUUGCUGGGGCGGGACAUGCAAGAGAAACCUGAUCACAACGUUUUUUUUAACGCCUCAGCAAAAGUGAUGCAUGAACACCGGGCUCUAUUUGAACAGCCUCCUAAAUAGAAUCAACUGUUUCCUCCAAGAGAGAACUUGCAUAUGCUGUGAGAAAGAAACAUGCGCAUUCCUGCUUGGUGGAAACAGAGGUUAGAAAGGGAAGGAGCUCAGAGCAACCCAGGAACCCUGUUGUCAGCACCGGGUAUCAUUUCUUCUCCACCUGGGCACUUGCCCACAUUCCUCUCCCACUGCCCUGUGUUCCCUGCUCUGACAACCAUCUCCUGCAACAGCCAAGGUGAUAGCUGAGUACACGGGGUGCAAACUUGGAAUUAGGGAGGUGAAGCAAGAGGAUUACCACGAGUUUGAGGUCAGCCUGGGUCAGGGAAUUCAAGCCUGCCUGAGCU
Long non-coding RNA from Mus musculus (house mouse), 1400 nucleotides. RefSeq annotates it as predicted gene, 41485. The transcript is spliced from 4 exons. NCBI's taxonomy places the organism in Eukaryota, Metazoa, Chordata, Mammalia, Rodentia, Muridae. The record is from RefSeq and is a predicted model, not a curated record.